RNAcentral lists this ribosomal RNA (692 nucleotides) under Bacillus albus. RNAcentral describes it as "bacterial SSU rRNA". It matches the Rfam family "Bacterial small subunit ribosomal RNA", at positions 56 to 728 of the family's 1533-position model. The record is from RNAcentral. Lineage: Bacteria; Bacillati; Bacillota; Bacilli; Caryophanales; Bacillaceae.
UGCAAGUCGAGCGAAUGGAUUAAGAGCUUGCUCUUAUGAAGUUAGCGGCGGACGGGUGAGUAACACGUGGGUAACCUGCCCAUAAGACUGGGAUAACUCCGGGAAACCGGGGCUAAUACCGGAUAACAUUUUGAACCGCAUGGUUCGAAAUUGAAAGGCGGCUUCGGCUGUCACUUAUGGAUGGACCCGCGUCGCAUUAGCUAGUUGGUGAGGUAACGGCUCACCAAGGCAACGAUGCGUAGCCGACCUGAGAGGGUGAUCGGCCACACUGGGACUGAGACACGGCCCAGACUCCUACGGGAGGCAGCAGUAGGGAAUCUUCCGCAAUGGACGAAAGUCUGACGGAGCAACGCCGCGUGAGUGAUGAAGGCUUUCGGGUCGUAAAACUCUGUUGUUAGGGAAGAACAAGUGCUAGUUGAAUAAGCUGGCACCUUGACGGUACCUAACCAGAAAGCCACGGCUAACUACGUGCCAGCAGCCGCGGUAAUACGUAGGUGGCAAGCGUUAUCCGGAAUUAUUGGGCGUAAAGCGCGCGCAGGUGGUUUCUUAAGUCUGAUGUGAAAGCCCACGGCUCAACCGUGGAGGGUCAUUGGAAACUGGGAGACUUGAGUGCAGAAGAGGAAAGUGGAAUUCCAUGUGUAGCGGUGAAAUGCGUAGAGAUAUGGAGGAACACCAGUGGCGAAGGCGACUUU